AGUGAACGCUGGCGGUAGGCCUAAUACAUGCAAGUCGAACGGAAACACAGGAAGAGUGUGCUCUUACGGGUGGCGACCGGCGGACGGGUGAGGAGUACAUCGGCAACUACUUUUUCGGGGGGGAUAACGGAGGGAAACUGACGAUAAUACCGCAUACGACCUACGGGUUGAAGCAGUGGAUAUUCGGAGCUUGCCCGUUAGAUUUAGACGGUGCCGGAUUAGCUAGGUGGCGAGGUAACGGCCCACCAAGGCGACGAUGCGUAGCUGGUCUGAGAGGAUGAUCGGCCACACUGGAACUGAGACACGGUCCAGACUCCUACGGGAGGCAGCAGUGGGGAAUAUUGGGCAAUGGGCGCAAGCCUGACCCAGCCAUGCCGCGUGAGUGAAGAAGGCCUUCGGGUUGUAAAGCCCUUUUGUUGGGAAAGAAAAGCAGCGGGUUAAUACACGGCUGUCCUGACGGUACCCAAAGAAUAAGCACCGGCUAACUACGUG
RNAcentral lists this ribosomal RNA (492 nucleotides) under uncultured bacterium. RNAcentral describes it as "partial 16S ribosomal RNA". It matches the Rfam family "Bacterial small subunit ribosomal RNA", at positions 29 to 507 of the family's 1533-position model. The record is from RNAcentral.